Molecule: long non-coding RNA, 2397 nt
Organism: Mustela lutreola (European mink)
Lineage: Eukaryota; Metazoa; Chordata; Mammalia; Carnivora; Mustelidae
Exons: 3
Source: RefSeq, a predicted model, not a curated record
CCCAUCCUGGCCGAGGCUGCCCAGCACAGCCGGGGGGGGGGGGGGUGCUGGAGGUGUCAUUUUGGGGACUUUAAACAAUUCCUGCAGGGGUCUCAGUGGAGGGCCCUGACCAGGGACAGUGGCAUGGAGGAGGCAGAAGCAUGAAGGAGAUGGCCAUCCUCAGCUGUUCCGCACUGGCCCACUGAUGCCAAGCGCCCUCCUGCACCCCUACCUAUUGCUACACAAGCUACCCCCCCCAACCCUCCCCAUCCCCACCACCCUACACACACAUAGUGCUUUCUGCCUAGGAUGCUUCCUCUCUCCGGACUUAGCCACCCCCUACCCCAUCCCAAAGCACCAGCGCUCUCUGCCCCAACCCGUUCUCCAUCACAUGUCUGCAUGUCCGUCCGCACAUGGGCUGUUCAUUCCUUGUCUGGAACUGGGGGACUUCCAUGCACAGGACAAGAAGAGGAGUCAUUUGUCUCCUGGCUGAAGCUGUCCUGGAGGGAGGAGGUGGGGGGGGGCAGACUUAAAUAGGGUGGGGCUGGAAGUAGGGCUUUGGGUUUUUGCACUUUAGGAGUUGUGCUCACCACUGAGGGUCAGGGAAUGGAAGAGAACAGGUCGGAACUCUGCAGUAGCUCUUCUUUCAAGGAAAACCUUCCUCCAGACUGCGGGAGUGUCCUCUCACCAUUCCUCGGGGCACUGCCCUCUCGAUCAGAUCAUUCUAGACCCUGCCUCCUGCCCCCAAGUCUUCCCGAGCGUCACCUGUGUGAGCCCCUUCUGGCACGACAGCAGCCUGGUCCCUCCGCCAGCCCACCCGCCCCCUCACCAGCAGUGCCCUUCUGAGUGAGUCACAGCCAGCUACCCAGAUAUCUGCCUCCUACCUUGUACAGGGCAAGAUCCCUCCAAGGCUACUCUGAAUCCAUCCUGCCUUCCAUUGGGAUCUGGACUCUGCCCUCUUUUAAGAACACUCCAAACGUCCAUCAACGGGAACAGAUUAUACAAAACAAAGUAUGCCUUAUGGUGGAAUGGUCCUCAGCAAGAAAAAAAAAACAACAGACUACCAAGACACUCAAAACAGGGACACAUCUCAAAAACAUUCUCCUGAACAAAAGAACCCCCCCCCACACACACACACACAUACACACACACCAUGCACUGCCUGAUUCCAUUUAUAUAACACUCCAGAAAAGGCAAGCUAAUCUACAGUGACAGAAAGCAAAGCACUGGUAGCCGGUGCUGGUGGGGGAGGGAGACUGUUGAACGGCCCGCUGUAGCCAGUCUCAGACUCCUGAGCCUCCGAAAUCCUGUGGGACAAUAAAUGCAAGUGGUUUUAAGCUGCUAGGAUGGGGCGGGGGGUGGGGAGAUAAAAAACGACCUCAUGUUCACAAAACCUAAAAAGUUGGGUAUUCCAUACCAAGCAUUGGUGAGGAUGUGAAGAAAUAAGAAGGCUCGUGCACCAUUGGUGGGAGUACAAAAUGGGGGAACCGCAGUGGAAAACAGUAUGGUGGUUCCUCACAAAAGGAAACAAUUAAAGAAGUAUCAUAUGACCCAGCAAUCCCACCCAAAAGAAUUGAAAGAAGAAAGAGAGAGAGAGAGAGGGAGAGAAAAGGAAAAAAAAGAAAAGAAAAAAAGAAAUAGAUCCAAACACAACUAUGUUCAUGGUAACAUGAGCCACAAUGGCGAGGUACCCCUUCAUGGAUGAGUGGAUGAACAGAACGUGGUACAUCCACACAAUGAGAUAGUUCUCAGCGUUCAAAAAAGAAGGACAUCCUGACACCUGCUACAAUGCAGAUCGACCUUGAGGACAUCGUACUCAGUGAUACUGGUUAUUAUCAAUGUGGAAAAACUCACGUGGGACCCAUGGGAAUGUAAAGUCGGCCGUCUUUCAUAGUGAGAGACUGUGUGAAAGCAGAGUCUCCCCUCCCCAUCUUCGGCCCACUUCAGUGCUUCCUGAGAUCACUUUCCAGGGAGACCACUGGAGUCCGAUUCCUUGUCUCAGGAUCUGCACCUAGAGGCGUCUGAACUGAGACAACACCUCAAUCCUCCACACGCCCAUCAUUUACUGAAGCCCCAUGGGGUGGCAGGCACCGUGCCAAUGUUGGGGACCCAGCGGGGAGCAGGAAUCUCAUGUGCUAGGGUCCUAGGGCUUCUAUCCCAGUGACCUCAGAGAUUCGUACAAGGGUGUAAAGUAAGGUGUCUCAGGAUGCUCACUCCGGGGGCGUGUGGGGGGCUCAGUCUAUUAAGGGUCUGCCUUCAGCUCAGGUCAUGAUCCCAGGGUCUGGGGAUGGAGCCCUGUGUUGGGCUCCCUGCUCCGCAGGGAGUCUGCUUCUCCCUUUCCCUGUGCUGCUCCCCAUGCUCUUAUGUACAUUUGCAAACGCUCUCUCUGAAAUAAAUAAAUAAAGUUGUUGUUGUUUU